Long non-coding RNA from Cylas formicarius (sweet potato weevil), 238 nucleotides. RefSeq lists it as uncharacterized. Lineage: Eukaryota; Metazoa; Arthropoda; Insecta; Coleoptera; Brentidae. The record is from RefSeq and is a predicted model, not a curated record. The transcript has 3 exons.
UCUCAUUUUUCUCUGUUUUGUCAGUAGUUGUUUUUGGUAUUAUUCGUGCAACGUGGAAGCUAACUUAGUGGUUUGGUGUUCGUACAAAAAAGCAGUCUUAAAGAUCAUCUUAGUACUCUCAACCCGUAACCGCAAAUAGAAUAGCAGCAAUCUUAAGCAUGGACUUAAGUCAACUGAAUCAAACCUGUCUUGCAGAAAGUGAUUUUGAGCAGCCGAUUGUCAAACUGCAUGAAUUGCC